This 829-nucleotide long non-coding RNA is filed under the name Bos indicus x Bos taurus (hybrid cattle). Its description in RNAcentral is "lncRNA (ENSBIXG00005023285.1)". Lineage: Eukaryota; Metazoa; Chordata; Mammalia; Artiodactyla; Bovidae. The record is from RNAcentral.
UCAUGGAGGAAUAUUCCAACCCUCCUCCCUUCAGCUCACCUGCCCUUAAAAUAGUACUGCCUCCCUGAGAAACACACAUCGCUGUUAUUAAAAAACUAUUAUUGUUUAACAGUAACUGCAUUGUGAACAGAAAAGGUACAGACGGUACCAGAUGGACCUAAAAUCAAAAUGAUACAAACAGGCACCAAACAGACACACUGAGAAAGCCAGUGUGCUAGUGGGUUACAUAAGGCUGGGGAAGAGGCGGAUGGAUGGGGGGACUGUAAGAGGCUUAUUGUCAUGACGAUAUCUGGAUAAAGAAGGAGCUGUGCGGUUUAACUUUCAAGUGAGUGUGAAGAAUCGAACGUACAGCUGAGGGCUGGUGAGACAAAGUGCAGACAACUAACUGCUGGAGAGCUCAAAGCAUUUGGCUGCUUCUUCCAGAGGGAUGCGUGCAUGAUCGCACCUGCGCGUGAGCGUCUGUGCAGAUUUAACAGCGGGUGAUGAAGAGGGAGCUACUUAAAGAGCAAGCCCCGAAGUGCCCGUAGGAGACCUGAUCAUCAAGGCCGCCAGUGUGGCAGAGGGACCCUGGAGAAAGAACGGCACUGCACACCGCUCCCACUUUGCAAACUUCUCCAGGUGGUGAAAGAGUCCAGACUUGGGCAGGAAGGAGUCUUCUCUCUCCAGAAGUUAAGCUAGCCAUCCAUAACUGUCUGCCCCCAAAGCCACAAGCCAUGCGGCUCAGCGCGGCUCCUUCCCACCAGGUUUAACUGUGGUCCGCUGUGUGCCAAGCCCUGUUCUAGGCCCUGGAGAAGCGGCGGUGACUUAAAGGGACAGAAACUGCUGCCCU